UACGUAGGGCGCAAGCGUUGUCCGGAAUUAUUGGGCGUAAAGAGCUCGUAGGCGGUCUGUCGCGUCUGUUGUGAAAACUCGAGGCUCAACCUCGGGCCUGCAGUCGAUACGGGCUAGCUAGAGUGUGGUAGGGGAGAUCGGAAUUCCUGGUGUAGCGGUGAAAUGCGCAGAUAUCAGGAGGAACACCGGUGGCGAAGGCGGAUCUCUGGGCCAUUACUGACGCUGAGGAGCGAAAGCGUGGGGAGCGAACAGG
Molecule: ribosomal RNA, 253 nt
Filed under: uncultured bacterium
Lineage: Bacteria
Description: partial 16S ribosomal RNA
Rfam family: Bacterial small subunit ribosomal RNA
Source: RNAcentral